RNAcentral lists this ribosomal RNA (500 nucleotides) under uncultured bacterium. Its description in RNAcentral is "partial 16S ribosomal RNA". It matches the Rfam family "Bacterial small subunit ribosomal RNA", at positions 30 to 523 of the family's 1533-position model. The record is from RNAcentral.
AUUGAACGCUGGCGGAAUGCUUUACACAUGCAAGUCGAACGGCAGCACGGACUUCGGUCUGGUGGCGAGUGGCGAACGGGUGAGUAAUGUAUCGGAACGUGCCCAGUCGUGGGGGAUAACGUAGUGAAAAUUACGCUAAUACCGCAUACGAUCUAUGGAUGAAAGCGGGGGAUCGCAAGACCUCGCGCGAUUGGAGCGGCCGAUAUCAGAUUAGGUAGUUGGUGGGGUAAAGGCCCACCAAGCCAACGAUCUGUAGCUGGUCUGAGAGGACGAGCAGCCACACUGGAACUGAGACACGGUCCAGACUCCUACGGGAGGCAGCAGUGGGGAAUUUUGGACAAUGGGCGAAAGCCUGAUCCAGCCAUUCCGCGUGCAGGAUGAAGGCCCUCGGGUUGUAAACUGCUUUUGUACAGAACGAAAAGGUUUCUACUAAUACUAGGAGCUCAUGACGGUACUGUAAGAAUAAGCACUGGCUAACUCUGUGCCAGCCGCCGCGGUAA